AAUAAUUUUGGAUCGAGGCUCCUGAAUAUUCGACGUUGAUAUCGUUGGCAAUAUCAACAUUGGUGAUGGCCGUUCCGUACCGUGAAUUAUUA
RNAcentral lists this transfer RNA (92 nucleotides) under Yersinia intermedia. Its description in RNAcentral is "tRNA-Ile(gat)". Lineage: Bacteria; Pseudomonadati; Pseudomonadota; Gammaproteobacteria; Enterobacterales; Yersiniaceae. RNAcentral also lists the same sequence under 3 other names. The record is from RNAcentral.